CUACGGGGCGCAGCAGUGAGGAAUAUUGCACAAUGGGGGGAACCCUGAUGCAGCAACGCCGCGUGGAGGAUGACGCAUUUCGGUGUGUAAACUCCUUUUAUAUGUCAAGAAAAUGACGGUAGCAUAUGAAUAAGCACCGGCUAACUCCGUGCCAGCAGCCGCGGUAAUACGGAGGGUACAAGCGUUACUCGGAAUCACUGGGCGUAAAGGACGCGUAGGCGGGUUGGAAAGUCAGGUGUGAAAUCCUACAGCUUAACUGUAGAACUGCACUUGAAACUUCUAAUCUAGAGUAUGGGAGGGGGAGAUGGAAUUAGUGGUGUAGGGGUAAAACCCGUAGAUAUCACUAGGAAUACCUAAAGCGAAGGCGAUCUCCUGGAACAUUACUGACGCUAAGGCGUGAAAGCGUGGGGAGCAAACAGGAUUAGAUACCCUGGUAGUC
This 439-nucleotide ribosomal RNA is filed under the name uncultured bacterium. RNAcentral describes it as "partial 16S ribosomal RNA". It matches the Rfam family "Bacterial small subunit ribosomal RNA", at positions 339 to 795 of the family's 1533-position model. The record is from RNAcentral.